Molecule: ribosomal RNA, 495 nt
Filed under: uncultured bacterium
Lineage: Bacteria
Description: bacterial SSU rRNA
Rfam family: Bacterial small subunit ribosomal RNA
Source: RNAcentral
AAAGGAAUUGACGGGGGCCCGCACAAGCGGUGGAGUAUGUGGUUUAAUUCGAAGCAACGCGCAGAACCUUACCUGGGUUUGACAUGCACGAGACAGGCGGUGAGAGUCGCCCUUCUCUUCGGAGAUUCGUGCACAGGUGCUGCAUGGCUGUCGUCAGCUCGUGCCGUGAGGUGUUGGGUUAAGUCCCGCAACGAGCGCAACCCUCGUCUAUAGUUGCCAUCAGGUUAUGCUGGGCACUCUAUAGAGACUGCCGGUGACAAGCCGGAGGAAGGUGGGGAUGACGUCAAGUCCUCAUGGCCCUUACAUCCAGGGCUACACACGUACUACAAUGGCCGGUACAGAAGGUUGCAAGACCGCAAGGUGGAGCCAAUCCCAAAAACCGGCCUCAGUUCAGAUUGGAGUCUGCAACUCGACUCCAUGAAGGCGGAAUCGCUAGUAAUCGCUGAUCAGCAGGCAGCGGUGAAUACGUUCCCGGGCCUUGUACACACCGCCCGU